UACGUAGGGUGCGAGCGUUAAUCGGAAUUACUGGGCGUAAAGCGUGCGCAGGCGGUUUGGUAAGACAGGCGUGAAAUCCCCGGGCUUAACCUGGGGAACUGCGUUUGUGACUGCCAGGCUAGAGUACGGCAGAGGGGGGUGGGAUUCCACGUGUAGCAGUGAAAUGCGUAGAGAUGUGGAGGAACACCAAUGGCGAAGGCAAUCCCCUGGGCCUGUACUGACGCUCAUGCACG
RNAcentral lists this ribosomal RNA (233 nucleotides) under uncultured bacterium. RNAcentral describes it as "partial 16S ribosomal RNA". It matches the Rfam family "Bacterial small subunit ribosomal RNA", at positions 524 to 755 of the family's 1533-position model. The record is from RNAcentral.